Molecule: long non-coding RNA, 1009 nt
Organism: Oryzias melastigma (Indian medaka)
Lineage: Eukaryota; Metazoa; Chordata; Actinopteri; Beloniformes; Adrianichthyidae
Exons: 4
Source: RefSeq, a predicted model, not a curated record
ACUGAAAAAAGGGGAAAAGUGGGGUUGUUCAAUUUACAAGUAUUAAACAUGUGUCUAAAACAUGAUCAAGUCAUGUUUACCUUCCAAACAUAUUCCAAUCUUGUAGAUCACACUUAAUUUCUGGCAAUAUGACAUUUACAUAUUUAAAUCAUCUUGAUAAAACAUGAAAUAAUCAUGUUUCGCUCUUUGCCCCUUAAUUUUAAAUAUGUAAACCCCGUCUGCCGAGGAGCAAGUUGCCCCUUAAUUUUAAUUACGUAAACCCCGUCUGCCGAGAAGCUAGUUGCCCCUUGAUUUUAAGUACGUAAACCCCGUCCGCCACGGAUCAUUCCAGAAAAGAUUUUUUGGAGUCAGCCAUUUUAUACAAGCAAUAAGCAGCUAUUCAUCGAAGUCACUUAUAAAAGGUUUCCUCUGACGGAUACGGCUACCUGUACUUCCCAGUGAGGAGCACUCAUGCAGACAGAUUUACAUUUAAGACUGUUGAGUUUCUUAUCACUGUCAGCAAGUGCAAAGGUUUGUUCAAAGGCUCUGUUGUACAGAAUGAAGACCAUCCAGGAGGCAAUCGAGGACACCAUGGAGGGAAUUUUCCACUAAAUGGCAUGUGGCAGUGGUGAGGAAAAGGACAUUCUUGUGAUCCUUGAAGUCCAGGCUGUGGUGGACAACCUACCAAGUGUCAGAGUGGCAGUUGCCAUGCUGUUUGGCCUUAUUUACAACCUUAAUAUGGAUCACCGUCCUCAUCUCAGAUACACCUUUGAGGUAAUCUGGAAAAUUGUAAUGGAGUUAGAGGGCAGAGUUAUGUCCAAAAGGGUGGAGAUCUUUGAGAUGCGACUCUUCAAAUAAAAUUAACACAGUUCACGGUUCACCAAGGAUGGAAUCCAGCUGCUUGCUUUGGCUAUUUCUCUUAUGUUCUGUUUAACAAAAAACGGCAAACCUCAUAAAUGUUGAUUUGUACUAUUUGCAUAGCUGUAAUCAUAUUUUUCAAGUUGAAAUAAAAAACAGGUUGAUACUUAAA